Molecule: ribosomal RNA, 909 nt
Filed under: Enterococcus faecium
Lineage: Bacteria; Bacillati; Bacillota; Bacilli; Lactobacillales; Enterococcaceae
Description: partial 23S ribosomal RNA
Rfam family: Bacterial large subunit ribosomal RNA
Source: RNAcentral
UUGUGUGAAUACAUAGCACAUUCGAGGUAGACGCAGAGAACUGAAACAUCUAAGUACCUGCAGGAAGAGAAAGAAAAUUCGAUUCCCUGAGUAGCGGCGAGCGAAACGGGAAAAGCCCAAACCAGCAAGCUUGCUUGUUGGGGUUGUAGGACUCCAAUAUGGUAGUUCUUUCAGAUAGUCGAAUGACUUGGAAAAGUCAGUCAAAGAGGGUAAAAACCCCGUAGACGAAAUGUGGAAGACACCUAGGAGGAUCCUGAGUACGGCGGAACACGAGAAAUUCCGUCGGAAUCCGGGAGGACCAUCUCCCAAGGCUAAAUACUCCCUAGUGACCGAUAGUGAACCAGUACCGUGAGGGAAAGGUGAAAAGCACCCCGGAAGGGGAGUGAAAUAGAACCUGAAACCGUGUGCCUACAACAAGUCAAAGCCCGUUAAUGGGUGAUGGCGUGCCUUUUGUAGAAUGAACCGGCGAGUUACGAUUGCAUGCGAGGUUAAGUUGAAGAGACGGAGCCGCAGCGAAAGCGAGUCUGAAUAGGGCGUUUGAGUAUGUAGUCGUAGACCCGAAACCAUGUGAUCUACCCAUGUCCAGGUUGAAGGUGCGGUAAAACGCACUGGAGGACCGAACCCACGUACGUUGAAAAGUGCGGGGAUGAGGUGUGGGUAGCGGAGAAAUUCCAAACGAACUUGGAGAUAGCUGGUUCUCUCCGAAAUAGCUUUAGGGCUAGCCUCGGAAUUGAGAAUGAUGGAGGUAGAGCACUGUUUGGACUAGGGGCCCAUCUCGGGUUACCGAAUUCAGAUAAACUCCGAAUGCCAUUCAUUCAUAUCCGGGAGUCAGACUGUGAGUGAUAAGAUCCAUAGUCGAAAGGGAAACAGCCCAGACCACCAGCUAAGGUCCCAAAAUAUAUGUUAAGU